This is a long non-coding RNA of Pelmatolapia mariae (spotted tilapia), 268 nucleotides long. RefSeq lists it as uncharacterized. The record is from RefSeq and is a predicted model, not a curated record. The transcript has 3 exons. Lineage: Eukaryota; Metazoa; Chordata; Actinopteri; Cichliformes; Cichlidae.
CUUGAUUAAGGAUGGCUUCCAUUCGUGGGCCGUGAACGCGCACCGCUCGCCAGCCCAUGGCUGCAGGAAAGCGCGAUGACACUGGACUCAGCUGCUUAUCAGCUUCCUCAUUUUAAGUGCUCUGUAAGCCAUCUCUUGGUCCCGGUUCUCGAUCUCCUUCUUGAGCACAGGACAGCUGUGACAAACGGACCUCACCUCUCCGCUUCUGCCACCAGCUGUAGCGCCAGCUGCGUUGGCGCCCUCCUGCAAGCUGCUGCCGUGAACGUCC